CAGCAGCCGCGGUAAUACGGAGGGUGCAAGCGUUAAUCGGAAUUACUGGGCGUAAAGCGCACGCAGGCGGUCUGUCAAGUCAGAUGUGAAAUCCCCGGGCUUAACCUGGGAACUGCAUUUGAAACUGGCAGGCUAGAGUCUUGUAGAGGGGGGUAGAAUUCCAGGUGUAGCGGUGAAAUGCGUAGAGAUCUGGAGGAAUACCGGUGGCGAAGGCGGCCCCCUGGACAAAGACUGACGCUCAGGUGCGAAAGCGUGGGGAGCAAACAGGAUUAGAGACCCGAGUAGUCCCUGUCUCUUAUAC
RNAcentral lists this ribosomal RNA (301 nucleotides) under uncultured bacterium. Its description in RNAcentral is "partial 16S ribosomal RNA". It matches the Rfam family "Bacterial small subunit ribosomal RNA", at positions 509 to 807 of the family's 1533-position model. The record is from RNAcentral.